RNAcentral lists this long non-coding RNA (315 nucleotides) under Rattus norvegicus (Norway rat). RNAcentral describes it as "long non-coding RNA NONRATT011326". The record is from RNAcentral. Lineage: Eukaryota; Metazoa; Chordata; Mammalia; Rodentia; Muridae.
CAGAACACCGCUAUGAGCUCAGGGGUCCCAUUACUGAAAGCCCUCCUCCUCCUAUUAGCAGGCACUGGGAGAGCUCAAGUGCUGGCAACAGGCAAGUCUGCUGGGACUGAGAUCGAUUUCAAGUACGUUGUUAUCGGUACGGCAUUAGGAGUAGCCCUAUCUGCCGGUUUCCUUGCCCUGAAGAUUUGCAUGAUCCGGAGACACUUGUCUGAUAAUGACUCUACAGACCUGAAGAACACACCCCAGGGUAAGGGAGCCACGACAAACAGAGCCUGCCCUACUCUGCAGAAGAAAGCGUUGUCUCUGCCUGUUGGC